GUACUAUAACCGUGAUUCAAUUGAUUAUGACGAAUACAAAGUGCCGAGAAUCACGGGAGUGAUUAUGUUAAGGGGAGAUUUGGUUGGAUCUAAGUACAUUCAUAGGAGGUUGAAUGAGUGGUGAAUGAUGUACGGGGUUCUUCAAGCCGUGCAACUAUUUGGCUCAGAGAGUUGCACAUGGGGCUCCUUUGGUGCUUGAUGUCAACCAGAUGAAUGGCCUUACAACUGAUCCACAAAUGCUUGAUGUCGCUUCAAAUAACGUCAGAAGGGAGGCAUCCACCAUCUCCCAUAAUGUCAGUGAAACAAGUUAUUUCUUCUCUUUAUUUAGUUGAUUAUUUUGAAUGGGUUAUUGUGCUUAAGGCUCUUAUAUGUACUUCAUGUUGUUUUGUUAUCAAAUUUGGUUCAGUAACCAACAAUCCAUAGCCUAUCUGUUUGUUUAAAUUAGAUC
RNAcentral lists this long non-coding RNA (448 nucleotides) under Helianthus annuus (common sunflower). The record is from RNAcentral. Lineage: Eukaryota; Viridiplantae; Streptophyta; Magnoliopsida; Asterales; Asteraceae.